Molecule: ribosomal RNA, 253 nt
Filed under: uncultured bacterium
Lineage: Bacteria
Description: partial 16S ribosomal RNA
Rfam family: Bacterial small subunit ribosomal RNA
Source: RNAcentral
UACAGAGGGUGCAAGCGUUAAUCGGAAUUACUGGGCGUAAAGCGUGCGCAGGCGGUUUUGUAAGACAGGCGUGAAAUCCCCGGGCUCAACCUGGGAACUGCAUUUGUGACUGCAAGGCUAGAGUACGGCAGAGGGGGAUGGAAUUCCGCGUGUAGCAGUGAAAUGCGUAGAUAUGCGGAGGAACACCAAUGGCGAAGGCAAUCCCCUGGGCCUGUACUGACGCUCAUGCACGAAAGCGUGGGGAGCAAACAGG